CAAAUCCCCAGAGAGCUGCACUAGGUGCCUGUAGGGUCUUAAGUAAGAUAAUGAUAACCUCUCUUUCUCGUUUUACCAUCUCCAUUAUUCCAGAUGCAAUUAUAACUGGACAAGAGCAAUUAGUUUGAAUAAUAGAUGCCAAAGACCCAAAAUGAAGGGAGACAAUAACAGCCAUGAGAUGAUUCAGCUUAGAAGAGAUUUCCAUGUUGGAAACUGUACAAGCAUUUCAAGGAAGUUCUAACAGAAGUCUUAUCAAUGUGAGCCUACGAGUGUUUGGACUUCAUAAUAGUGAUGGAGAAACUUCAGAUGGCACAGGAGGGUAAAAUCAAGGAGGCUGCUGAGACAAUGGAAUUCUCAAAAUGAUAGGACUGACUGAAGCACUGAUGCUGGAGAAGAAAGGAGGAAUGAGAAACUAGAAAGGAAGAGGACAAUAAAAGAAAUAUAUCUAAACAGUUAUAAAAAGUUGUGUUAUUUUUCUCUGGACAAUAUUGAAUUAUUAUUUUUUUAUUUCUGGAACUUAGUGAAAAACUGAUACUACAAAAAAGUAGAGAUAUAUU
Long non-coding RNA from Sorex araneus (European shrew), 557 nucleotides. RefSeq lists it as uncharacterized. The record is from RefSeq and is a predicted model, not a curated record. NCBI's taxonomy places the organism in Eukaryota, Metazoa, Chordata, Mammalia, Eulipotyphla, Soricidae. The transcript is spliced from 3 exons.